GAUUUCUGAUUGGACACUCUGGCCCGUGGGUUAACGCUCACGUGUGCUGGCGCGUUUCCAGUCAUCCUUCCAGACUGCCAUGCGUACCGUUCAUUCGGCCGCGCGUGUUUGCGAUCUGGAUCUUUUACUUUGAAAAAAUUAGAGUGUUUAAAGCAGGCUUAUGCCAUGAAUACAUUAGCAUGGAAUAAUAAUAUAGGACUUUGGUUCUAUUUUGUUGGUUUCUAGGACUGAAGUAAUGAUUGAUAGGGAUAGUUGGGGGUGCUAGUAUUCAGCGGCCAGAGGUGAAAUUCUUGGAUUCGCUGAAGACUAACUACUGCGAAAGCAUU
RNAcentral lists this ribosomal RNA (326 nucleotides) under uncultured Euglypha. RNAcentral's name for it is "SSU rRNA". The stretch from base 111 to 326 matches the Rfam family "Eukaryotic small subunit ribosomal RNA", at positions 738 to 955 of the family's 1831-position model. Lineage: Eukaryota; Cercozoa; Imbricatea; Euglyphida; Euglyphidae. The record is from RNAcentral.